RNAcentral lists this ribosomal RNA (253 nucleotides) under uncultured bacterium. Its description in RNAcentral is "partial 16S ribosomal RNA". It matches the Rfam family "Bacterial small subunit ribosomal RNA", at positions 524 to 776 of the family's 1533-position model. The record is from RNAcentral.
UACGUAGGGUGCAGGCGUUAAUCGGAAUUACUGGGCGUAAAGCGUGCGCAGGCGGUUUCUUAAGUCAGAUGUGAAAGCCCCGGGCUUAACCUGGGAACUGCGUUUGAAACUGGGAGACUCGAGUGUGGCAGAGGGGGGUGGAAUUCCACGUGUAGCAGUGAAAUGCGUAGAUAUGUGGAGGAACACCGAUGGCGAAGGCAGCCCCCUGGGCUAACACUGACGCUCAUGCACGAAAGCGUGGGGAGCAAACAGG